CAAAAUUGGUUACAUUUUAAAGGGAAAUUCAGUAUCUUUCCUGGGAGGAUACUUGUCACUGAUUCCAACAGUCAGAACACAAAAUAUCAGUCUUGUUUCCCCAGAAAGAAGCAGCUUUUUUCUGUCUUAUUCUGAAAUCAGAAUCUAGUGGGUUUACUUGAGAAUUCCCAUAAGACAUUUUCUUGAAACCUCCACUCAACUUUUGAGAUGGAGAAUCAAAGCAUAAAGUAUGUAGCUUUGGGUCAGAGCGAUCCCUUUGGCAAUAAUGUCAACGAAGGAACCAUUGGCGA
RNAcentral lists this long non-coding RNA (290 nucleotides) under Brassica napus (rape). RNAcentral's name for it is "long non-coding RNA (BNAP_LNC011600)". Lineage: Eukaryota; Viridiplantae; Streptophyta; Magnoliopsida; Brassicales; Brassicaceae. The record is from RNAcentral.